RNAcentral lists this ribosomal RNA (292 nucleotides) under uncultured bacterium. Its description in RNAcentral is "partial 16S ribosomal RNA". The record is from RNAcentral.
GGACUACAGGGGUAUCUAAUCCUGUUUGCUCCCCACGCUUUCGUGUCUCAGCGUCAGUAUUCGUCCAGUUGGCCGCCUUCGCCACCGGUGUUCCUCUCGAUAUCUACGAAUUUCACCUCUACACCGAGAAUUCCACCAACCUCUCCGAUACUCAAGCCACGCAGUAUCGAAUGCACUUCCCGGGUUAAGCCCGGGGCUUUCACAUCCGACUUACAUGGCCGCCUACACACGCUUUACGCCCAGUAAUUCCGAACAACGUUUGCACCCUCUGUCUUACCGCGGCUGCUGGCAC